AGGUCAUUUCAAAGAGGGCUUUUAGGGCUGUAAAACCAAGAGCUCUUAACGCUGUGACCUGAGAUUGAAGUUCUCUAUGGGAUGCCACAGUCACUCAGCAGUAGUGCUGUGCUUUGCUGAGGAGAGACACAG
Small nucleolar RNA from Castor canadensis (American beaver), 132 nucleotides. The record is from Ensembl. NCBI's taxonomy places the organism in Eukaryota, Metazoa, Chordata, Mammalia, Rodentia, Castoridae.